Molecule: ribosomal RNA, 469 nt
Filed under: uncultured bacterium
Lineage: Bacteria
Description: partial 16S ribosomal RNA
Rfam family: Bacterial small subunit ribosomal RNA
Source: RNAcentral
GACGAACGCUGGCGGCGUGCUUAACACAUGCAAGUCGAACGGAAAGGCCCUGCUUGCAGGGUGCUCGAGUGGCGAACGGGUGAGUAACACGUGGGUGAUCUGCCCCUUACUUUGGGAUAAGCCUGGGAAACUGGGUCUAAUACUGGAUAGGACCAUGCUGUAGGUGGUGUGGUGGAAAGAUUAGUUUCGGUAAGGGAUGAGCUCGCGGCCUAUCAGCUUGUUGGUGGGGUAAUGGCCUACCAAGGCGUCGACGGGUAGCCGGCCUGAGAGGGUGGACGGCAACAUUGGGACUGAGAUACGGCCCAGACUCCUACGGGAGUCAGCAGUGGGGAAUAUUGCACAAUGGGCGCAAGCCUGAUGCAGCGACGCCGCGUGGGGGAUGACGGCCUUCGGGUUGUAAACUCCUUUCAGCCAUGACGAAGCCCUUGUGGUGACGGUAGUGGUAGAAGAAGCACCGGCUAACUACGUG